UACGUAGGGUGCAAGCGUUGUCCGGAAUUAUUGGGCGUAAAGAGCUCGUAGGCGGUCUGUCGCGUCGAAUGUGAAAACCCGGGGCUCAACCCCGGGCCUGCAUUCGAUACGGGCAGACUAGAGUUCGGUAGGGGAGUCUGGAAUUCCUGGUGUAGCGGUGAAAUGCGCAGAUAUCAGGAGGAACACCGGUGGCGAAGGCGGGACUCUGGGCCGAUACUGACGCUGAGGGGCGAAAGCGUGGGGAGCAAACAGG
This 253-nucleotide ribosomal RNA is filed under the name uncultured bacterium. RNAcentral's name for it is "partial 16S ribosomal RNA". It matches the Rfam family "Bacterial small subunit ribosomal RNA", at positions 524 to 776 of the family's 1533-position model. The record is from RNAcentral.